RNAcentral lists this non-coding RNA (21 nucleotides) under Caenorhabditis elegans. The record is from RNAcentral. Lineage: Eukaryota; Metazoa; Nematoda; Chromadorea; Rhabditida; Rhabditidae.
UAUUCUACCAGUUUCAAAGUG